This 424-nucleotide long non-coding RNA is filed under the name Ananas comosus (pineapple). RNAcentral's name for it is "long non-coding RNA (ACOM_LNC002200)". Lineage: Eukaryota; Viridiplantae; Streptophyta; Magnoliopsida; Poales; Bromeliaceae. The record is from RNAcentral.
UUUUUUCUUGUAUAGGAUGUGUUGAAUUUUUUCUAUCUAUUUUAUUGUAGGUAGUGGGUGCAUGUGGAUUUUUUCAGUGGUUUGACCCUCCAGUUGGUGAUCGAGCUGAAGUAAUUAUUACUAGACUGCUUAGGAAGAGCAGCAAGAUGGAAGAUGAGUUAAAGCAAGUUAAAAAGAGAAGGAUUUGUCUUUGGUUUUUUCUUGUAUUAUCCUGGAUCUUAAUAUGGAUCCUAUUUUGUAGUUUGAUGUCUACAGAAGGUUGUAAAGGCAAUUAAAAAUAUGGAUCCUGUUUUGAUGUGUAAAGAAGGUUGUGAAGGCCAUUAAAUAUAUGGGCCCUGUUUUGUUGUGUCUGCAGUAAUCCCUCUGUCAAGGCCUAGCUGUGCCAAAUUGUAGCCAAGUGUAUCUCGUAAAUGAAUGAAGCGGU